CCCUUAGAUGUCCGGGGCUGCACGCGCGCUACACUGAAGGAAUCAGCGUGCUAAAACCAUUGUCGAAAGGCAUUGGUAAACCCAUUAAAAUCCUACGUGAUUGGGAUCGGGAAUUGCAAUUAUUUCCCUUGAACGAGGAAUUCCCAGUAAGUGUGGAUCAUAAGCUCGCGUUGAUUACGUCCCUGCCCUUUGUACACACCGCCCGUCGCUGCCCGGGACUGAGCCGUUUCGAGAAAAGCGGGGACUGCUGCUGUCGGGGCUUUCGGGCCUUGGCUUCGGUGGAAACCGCUUUAAUCGCAGUGGCUUGAACCGGGCAAAAGUCGUAACA
Molecule: ribosomal RNA, 328 nt
Filed under: uncultured eukaryote
Lineage: Eukaryota
Description: partial 18S ribosomal RNA
Rfam family: Eukaryotic small subunit ribosomal RNA
Source: RNAcentral